UGGCUCAGGAUGAACGCUAGCUACAGGCUUAACACAUGCAAGUCGAGGGGCAUCAGUUUGGUUUGCUUGCAAACCAAAGCUGGCGACCGGCGCACGGGUGAGUAACACGUAUCUAACCUGCCUCAUACUCGGGGAUAGCCUUUCGAAAGAAAGAUUAAUAUCCGAUAGCAUAUAUUUCCCGCAUGGGUUUUAUAUUAAAGAAAUUCGGUAUGAGAUGGGGAUGCGUUCCAUUAGUUUGUUGGGGGGGGUAACGGCCCACCAAGACUACGAUGGAUAGGGGUUCUGAGAGGAAGGUCCCCCACAUUGGAACUGAGACACGGUCCAAACUCCUACGGGAGGCAGCAGUGAGGAAUAUUGGUCAAUGGACGCGAGUCUGAACCAGCCAAGUAGCGUGAAGGAUGACUGCCCUAUGGGUUGUAAACUUCUUUUAUAUGGGAAUAAAGUUGUCCACGUGUGGAUUUUUGUAUGUACCAUAUGAAUAAGGAUCGGCUAACUCCGUGCCAGCAGCCGCGGUAAUACGGAGGAUCCGAGCGUUAUCCGGAUUUAUUGGGUUUAAAGGGAGCGUAGGCGGAUUGUUAAGUCAGUUGUGAAAGUUUGCGGCUCAACCGUAAAAUUGCAGUUGAUACUGGCAGUCUUGAGUGCAGUAGAGGUGGGCGGAAUUCGUGGUGUAGCGGUGAAAUGCUUAGAUAUCACGAAGAACUCCGAUUGCGAAGGCAGCUCACUGGAGUGUAACUGACGCUGAUGCUCGAAAGUGUGGGUAUCAAACAGGAUUAGAUACCCUGGUAGUCCACACAGUAAACGAUGAAUACUCGCUGUUUGCGAUAUACAGUAAGCGGCCAAGCGAAAGCAUUAAGUAUUCCACCUGGGGAGUACGCCGGCAACGGUGAAACUCAA
RNAcentral lists this ribosomal RNA (894 nucleotides) under uncultured bacterium. RNAcentral describes it as "bacterial SSU rRNA". It matches the Rfam family "Bacterial small subunit ribosomal RNA", at positions 20 to 904 of the family's 1533-position model. The record is from RNAcentral.